UGAAAAACCUUGAAUUGUUGGAUCUUUCCUCAAACAAGUUUGUUGGGGAGAUUCCUCAGCAAUUGACAAAUUUGAUGUUUCUUGAGGUACUAAACCUUUCGGACAACCAACUAGCAGGACCAAUUCCUCAAGGGAGGCAGUUUUAUACAUUUGAAAAUGAUUCAUAUAGUGGGAACUUGGCUUUAUGUGGAUUGCCUUUAUCAAAGAAAUGUAAGGAACUACUGCCACUGCCACCUCCACCAACACUCCAACAAGAUGAGAAUUCAGACAAGUCAAGCGAAUUUAACUGGCAAGUUGUAGUGCUGGGGUAUGGAUGCGGAUUUUUAUUUGGAAUGAUUAUGGGAUAUCUUAUGUUUGUAACUCGAAGACCCGAAUGGCUUAUGAAAAUUGUUGAAGGAAAACAUCAUAAGAAGGUGAAAAGGUCUAAGAAGGGUGCCCGCUGAUGCAGUGAAAGAAGAAAUCAAUAAAGGCAAAUGGCAUUAUUCGGUUUGUUCCAUUAAGUAGCACAAUAAAGCAAUGGUAUCCACUUGAAGGGGUGUUUCACCUAGCUACUGCAUUUGAGUGGGUGAGCAUCUGGGUAACAGCCAUACAGGACCACUUCAAAAGCUUUACCCUUUUUGCGGUAUUGAAUUCUAAAGCUUUGUUAAGUCGUUUAGUUUUCUUGAAGUACUGAGUUAAAUAAGAGUUUCAUGUCAUGGUUUUUUGUUGUUUUCUAUCUCACAUCAUGUAGCAACCUUUAGAGAUUUGUAUUUUUGUAUGUAAUUUUUUUUUAAAUUGGAUUUCUGUCACAGAAGACUAGGCCAUGCCUAGGUUUUAACUUUGAAAUGCAAUCUUACAAUGAUAGAAUUGUUGUCUACUAGAUAGAGAAUUCAUAUUGAAAAUAAUAUUUUAUGUUACUCUUUGAGCAGUUUUUUA
RNA transcript from Camellia sinensis, 915 nucleotides. It is a transcript of the gene named receptor-like protein 7 pseudogene, with no coding region annotated. The record is from RefSeq and is a predicted model, not a curated record. NCBI's taxonomy places the organism in Eukaryota, Viridiplantae, Streptophyta, Magnoliopsida, Ericales, Theaceae.